Molecule: ribosomal RNA, 230 nt
Filed under: uncultured microorganism
Description: partial 16S ribosomal RNA
Rfam family: Bacterial small subunit ribosomal RNA
Source: RNAcentral
UACGAAGGGGGCUAGCGUUGUUCGGAAUUACUGGGCGUAAAGGGCGCGUAGGCGGCCUGUUUAGUCAGAAGUGAAAGCCCCGGGCUCAACCUGGGAACAGCUUUUGAUACUGGCAGGCUCGAGUUCCGGAGAGGAUGGUGGAAUUCCCAGUGUAGAGGUGAAAUUCGUAGAUAUUGGGAAGAACACCGGUGGCGAAGGCGGCCAUCUGGACGGACACUGACGCUGAGGCG